UGCGUAGGCGGCCCGGGAAGUUGGGUGUGAAAUCCCUCGGCUUAACCGAGGAACUGCGCCCAAAACUGCCGGGCUUGAGGGAGAUAGAGGUGAGUGGAACUUAGGGUGGAGCGGUGAAAUGCGUUGAUAUCCUAAGGAACACCGGUGGCGAAAGCGACUCACUGGGUCUCUUCUGACGCUGAGGCACGAAAGCUAGGGUAGCGAAGAGGAUUAGAUACCCUCGUAGUCCUAGCCCUAAACGAUGAGCACUAGAUCGAGGGACACUCCAUAGUCUCUUGGUCGAAGCGAAAGUGUUAAGUGCUCCGCCUGGGGAGUAUGGUCGCAAGGCUGAA
Molecule: ribosomal RNA, 332 nt
Filed under: uncultured bacterium
Lineage: Bacteria
Description: bacterial SSU rRNA
Rfam family: Bacterial small subunit ribosomal RNA
Source: RNAcentral